AAAAUUAAAUACAUAAAAAUAAAAAAAAAAUCAAAAACAAAACAUGGAAGAUUGCAAUUUGUUUUAAUUUACCCAUUCAAUUUUUACUUUUAUUUUUAUUUUCAAUUUUUUUACGCAUAUUGGUUAAUUGCAGGUUGCGAACGUGGAAAAUAAAGCGUGUCCUAUGCUGGAAUCCUGCACCCAGCAGCAAGUCUAACGUUCACAUCAACCACAUCUACACUAGGCAGAAAAUUUAAAGCAGUCAGCAUAAAAAAAAAAAAUCAUUCACAGCUGCAAGUUUGGGGGAGAUUGUUGCAGAUCCAGCACAGAAACAGAAUUUAGAGCAAUUAAUUUUCUGCAGCUCAGUUUUGCGAUGCAUGGAGGAAGCACAAUUAAAUCACAGAUCCAUACACCACAGAACUGAGUACAGCUAUUAUUACCAGAUCUACAACAAUUCCACUUCCAAGGAUAUGAAAUUUUACCUCCCAGAUUCACCGAUCUGGGUUCUUAGAAGCUUGUCCCGUUUUUGUCUAUUGCAGCUGAGGUUUCGCCGUCCACUUUAUUUCCCACGGAUCUAUCAGUGACCAUAUUUCCUGAAAAGUUCACAACAAGAAGACUAAUGACAAUUUGAUUUUCAUGAUCCAGGUUAUGUAUCACUUAAAACACACAAGCUUGUGAAAGUCAUAUUUUCUUACGGUCUUAUUAGUGUUGAUAUUUGUUCAUCAGUCUCCCGCACUUCAAGUUCACUUUCAUCAUAUCAUGUUAAUCAGUAUGUUGUUCGUUCGAUUCAUGUUCAAACCCGCAUAUACAUAUGGUUUUUGUUAUCAUUUUUCUAAGUUCCAUGGACGAAAUAAAUCAUGACAUUUAACCAAGAACAGGGAUGAGUUUAUACCUUCAUAGUCGAAAGAUCAAAACCUUCAUGAUGGGCCAUGCUUUAUGUCCAGUGGAUUUUCAGUUUGAGAGUUCUUUCUCGGGUCUGUCACAGAUCUGAGUGUUGUGCACACAUACCACACCAUUAUAAUUAUAUGCAUAUGUGAUGAAGCUAUUUUUGUCAUUAACCUACGGAGUACAAGAUUUUUACCUUUUGCAGGAAACAGAUCUGCAAGGUUGUAGCUGGUUUGCGUUUUCUUUGUCAUGGCUAAACUUCCAGAUCGAGAACCUGUGCACAUAAACAAAAUACCACAUCAGUCUACACAUGCAGUGUGGAGUAUAUGAGACGCACAAAUGGACAAUGUUUACCUCUGUGGUAAGGCUGUGUUCGGAUUUUUGCAGAGGAAAGUGUGUGUGGUUGCGCGGCUAAGGGUGAGGAGGAGUAAGGAAAUGAGAGAAAAAUGUGAAAGAAGGAGAGCUUUUUUUCAUUUUAGAGAGCAAUGGGGUCUGAGAGAAGAGAGAGAGAGUUGUGAAAUAAAAAGAAAGUAGAGAGAUGAAAUGGGGUCCGAGAGAACUAAAAAAAUAAAAUAAUAGAAGGGCUUGCUGUGAAAUGGAGAGAAAGCAUUUUCAGAUCUGCAAGGAAGAGAGAGAUAUGGGCAAGUGGGUUGAUCUUAACCUUUUAGUUGGAAUCCUAAGAAGUGGUCGCACGGAUGCGCGACACGUGUCCAAUUCUGGCAUUUUUCUUGUCUGUCCGAGAACGUGGUCUUGAACUAGGCAAAGAAAGAGCCGUUUGGCUCUUGGUUUAAUCAAACGCAGAGAGUAGGAGGGCGUGGUGCUCGAGGUCAACCAGAAAAAAAAAAAAAAAAAAAAAUUCAAGUUGCACGCGGAACCUUUUCAUUUCCCAGGCCAUAUAGGAGGCCACGUCUCCUAGCUGCAUGCCAGUUGGAGAUUUUCAUUGCAUGGGUUUUGUGUGGCUUUUAUUUGGCCACACUUAUAUCAACCACAACGUCACUUCCAAAGCCAGGUAGUCUUUUUUCUUUUUCUUUGGUUCUUGUUACUACUUUUCCUUGUUAUAAUUAUUAUUUGUUAGUUUAAGUUUAUUUUAUUUUUGUCAUUUUUUUUAUUUUCGUUUCCACACCUUGAGGACAAAGUGUGAAAUAAGUUUGGGGGUGGGAAAGUAAAUUUUAGUUUUUUUUAUUAUUGUGUCCGUUUAAAAAUUUUCAUUCGUGCUAAGUUAAUAUCCAUAGAUUAUUUUAAACGUUAGAACAAAUGGACAUGGUAAAGAUUAAUCCCAUAGUAGAGUCUUUUCUAUUUAUCGUUGCUUAGACACUAAUUCAUGAAUUAUACUUUGAACUUUGCACAUCACACCAACAUGGUUUGUGGGGAGUGAGAUUGAAACACUUGCUUUUAGUCUAAGUUAUUUUUAAUUUUUGUUUUAAGUAAAGUCAGUUAUUAUUGUGAAUAAAGUAAUAAUUGUCUCACCCGAGGUUUUGCCUAGUAACCGGGCCAGUCCUGCCUAAUCAGCAGUGAUUCUCGCGUCAAACGGUAGAGUUUUGGCAUGAGGCAGGGUGGUUAGUUGGUUUCGUAGCCUUUUCAGUUCGGGUUAAUAAGUCCUUAGGGGUGUUCUACACCUAGUGCCCUAAAGCCCUAGUGGUUUGGGAGUCAUUGACCUAAAGCUCGCUACAUGGGUUGGAUUGAAAGCUUAAGUGAACCGACAUUGCACGACCACUACUGUUACUGAAAAAAAAAAAAAAAUGUUAUAUACAUGAAAAAAAAAAGAGAAAAAAAAAAUUGAAAAAGAAAAAAAAAAAAAAAAAAAAGAAAGAGAGUUAUAUUUAAAGUUAGUAUGUGUGAAAUAAAUAAGGACGAGAGGUAAGGGUUUUAGUCGAGUCCCCUUAAUUAUGUUGGUUCACUUUACACCAAAGGAAGUUUGUGAAUUCUUUUCUAAUUGAUUCUAAAUGGCUUAGACUCUGUGGUGGGAUUGGUUGGAACUUUUGAAAAAAUGUUCUAGUUUUUUAAAUUUGCUAUGGAUUGCAACUUUGAAGAUGAAAAUUUUUGUCAGUUAAUUUUAGCUAGUUGUCUAGUUUGUUAAGUUUUUAUUUUUUGUUUGAGUCUUGUUUUCCUUGAGGACAAGCAAAAAGCUAAGUUUGGGGGUAUUUGAUGAGUAGAUUUUAUAUUAUAUAUUUUACCCUA
This 3042-nucleotide long non-coding RNA is filed under the name Malus domestica (apple). RNAcentral describes it as "long non-coding RNA (MDOM_LNC007582)". Lineage: Eukaryota; Viridiplantae; Streptophyta; Magnoliopsida; Rosales; Rosaceae. The record is from RNAcentral.